Molecule: small nucleolar RNA, 72 nt
Organism: Nycticebus coucang (slow loris)
Lineage: Eukaryota; Metazoa; Chordata; Mammalia; Primates; Lorisidae
Product: small nucleolar RNA SNORD26
Exons: 1
Source: RefSeq, a predicted model, not a curated record
CUAUGGGGAUGAUUUUAAGAAUUGAGCUGUCUCUGAUAGAGUAGUGGAGGAAACACAGAAAUUCUUAGUAGC